AAUUGCUUGCAGGAAAUAUUCAUGAUGCACUGCACUGCUUUUCGGACAUAUAAGCAUUUUCUUGAUGAGGGAAGGGCUCCAUAUCCUGUUCCACUUUUUAUUGAUGAAGGACCAUCAGAAGAGGCUAUCAGCUGGAAUGCAGAUAAACACUUUGACAUUUCAUUCUAGCAGAGAGAAUUUAGCUUUUUGAAGGCUAUGUUUAGUGCGUUCUCUUCAACCCCUGAUCCACUUGAUUAUUACAUGAUAUGGCAUCAACAUGCAGUCUUGGAAGCAGUGGGUGUUAUCAACUCUAAUGAUCUUCAUGUUCUAGACAUGGGGUUCGUGUCUCAGCUUUUGAGCUUAGGGAAAUGCCAUUGGGCCAUAUAUGUGGUCCUUCGUUCGCCCGUUCGAGAAGAUUGUCAAUUUCUUCAUGUGAAUUCGAUUCGGGAGAUAUUGUUCCAGUACUGCGAAAUUUGGAGUUCAGAUGAAUCUCAGCAACAGUUCAUUGAGGAUUUAGGCAUUCCUUCAGAAUGGAUUCAUGAGGCACUGGCAAUUUAUUAGUCAUAAUGGUGAUCUGCCAAAAGCUAUUGAGCACUUUCUUCAGUGUGCAAAUUGGCAGAAAGCUCGUAACAUCAGUUGCUCAUAGGUUAUUCUUGCAAGCCAAACACUCAAGAGAUAUGGAGGAUUGCAACUUCCAUGGAGGACCACAAAAAUUGAAAUUGAGAAUAUAUAUUUCAUAUUAUUUGAUGAGACUCACUUCAGGGAGACACCAAUUCCAUGACUCCAUUGGUAUGCCAAUUUAUAAAAGGAGAUCCCCUUUUUUAUUAUCAUUCAUGUACACAAUGAUUAUUCUGAAGUGCAAAUUUAUGACACUAUAGGAUGGUAUUUGCGUUGCAUCAAUU
This is a non-coding RNA of Arachis ipaensis, 881 nucleotides long. The record is from RefSeq and is a predicted model, not a curated record. NCBI's taxonomy places the organism in Eukaryota, Viridiplantae, Streptophyta, Magnoliopsida, Fabales, Fabaceae.